UGGCGCCAUUUUUGUUCUAAAAUCGAAAAAGUUUUGUUUUUCCAACUUUUGUGAUAAUUCUAAGCGAUUUGAGGAAAAUGAGCUAAGGCAAGGGGAUCCUGCGAAAGAUAAUUUGUAGAGUGGGAGUCGAAACGUGUAUACCUCUAAAGAUGGAUGAAACUGCUAAUGUUGAGGAGUCUGACAUACCUCAAAAGGACACUUCCCAGCGGAGCAUAACAGACUUUUUUACAUCCCCAAAGCAGAAGACACAAAAGCCAAAGUCAAGUACAAUUGAUGGAUACUUCACUUCAUUGUCAAAGAAAAAAUUGAGUACUGGGGAUGAUCUGGAAACUAAAGGCCAACAAAAUCAGAGUGAAAAGGGGAAAAGUGAAACAUUGAAUAACAAAUCUCUGAAAAAGAAAAUAGAAGGACAAGAUGGUAUAACAACUGAAAGUGUUGUAAAAAAGAGUAAAACAAACUCAGAUAAGAAGCCAAAUAAAAGUAAAAAGGAUAAAACUGACCAAGAUGAUGCCACUAUCAAGAAAGAGGGUAUUGAUAUCAAGAAAGAUGAUACCAAAACUAAGAAGGUUAAAGGGAAGGCAAACAAGUUGUCAACAAAACAAAAAAGGAAAGAUGAUAUCAAUGAGGAGAAACCAGUUAACAAUCACUUGACUGAUGACUCCAAGGCUGAUGACAACACAAAUAUCGAUAAAACCUUAGUAAAUAAAUCCAAUGAUCUAGAUUUAACACAUGAUAAAAGUAUGAUUGAAAUUAUUGAUAUUCCAGAUGUACUUGAAGAUGAUAGUAUUAAGAAAAAUGACAUAACAAAUAAUUGUAGUACUGAUGUUGGAGAUACAUCCAUGGAAAUGAGUUAUGAGGAGUUUCUAAAGACUCCAACCAGAAAACCAAAAAAUAAAAAGACUUUGGAAAAGACUGAACCUAGUGCUGAUAAUGAUUGCAGAAUGUUUGAAGAAAAGACUGGAUCAGGUGACCAAAACUCGAAAAAUUUCAAAAAUGUAAAAACUGAAACAGGUUUCCGUUUGAAAUCUGAUACACAGUUAAACCUAGGGAAUGCUAACCUCAAGGAUCCAUUAAAUUAUGGGGAGAGUGAUCUUGAUCCCGAUUUGAUAAGAUUAAUAGAAAAAGAUGAUCAUAAAACUCCAAGCAUUAAGAACUUCUUUAAAAAGGUCUCACAGAAACCAACUGAGAAAGUAGAAUCUCGAAGUGGAACUCCCAAUACAGUCACUACCAAAGCGGUUGUCCAUACUUCACCAACAAACUCUCCAGAAUCACGUCCCCAAUCCCGAAUGAGUUUGGAUCGUCCUCUCAGCCCAGAAUCAGUCCAUUCAAAUGUCUCAGUCGGGAGAAGCAAAAUAGACUUGAGUAUCACCCAGCUCGGGUCUGAGAUAAUUAACGCUGCUAAUGUAAAAGAUGAGGAAACAAGCCCAUCGGGAAAGAAAUUGAUUGAAAAUAUGGAUGAUUACAAUGAGGAGGAACUAUCAUGUGAUGAUCAAGUCCGUUUAUUUAACAAUAAAUUCAAUGGGGAAAACACUGAAGAUGUCAAACCGAAGAAAUUAUCUGACUUUUUCACAUGCGGAAUAAAUAAAGAUGUGAAACCAAAAGUAGAGGAAAUUGAGAAAGUGACAGCACCAAGUAAAACUAAGCAAGCAACAUUAGGAUUCAGAAAAGAUGGUGGAUUUGAAGUAAAGAAAGCAGAAACAACAAAACUGAAAAAGAAAACUGACAAUUCAGACAGAUCUGAAAAGGAUACUAUAGAAAAUAAACCAAAGAAAAGAGGAAGGCCAAAGAAAAUCAAAGAAGAAAACUCAGGUAGUGAAGUGUCCAAAAGUAAAGAAAAUAUUGAGACUGAAAAACCUCAAAUAUCAGGCAAACGGAAAUCAAAACGGAUACUUGAGAAGGAAAGUGAAAGUAGCCAAGAAAGGAGUGACAUUGAGGAGUUCAGUACACUAUCUAAGAGUAAAAAGAGACGGAAAACAUACAAGAUGUGUUACAUAGAUGACCCCAACAGGACACCUCUUAGAGUGAGAAUUUCCAGGCUUAACAAGAGCUCGUCUCAAGAUGAGGCUGAUGCUAAACCAGUACAACAAACCAGUCAACAAAAGAAAGCUAACAAACUGCUACAGAAGGCAAAGUCAAGCAAGCAGAGCAAGUUAAAAGUGAAGCACACAUCAAAAAAUAAGAAGACUAAGGUGGAGAAAGAGGGAAAAUCAUCUAAAUCUCAAAGAAAAUCUGUAAAAACUGACAUACCUCCUAAUGUUCCACGAACUCCAAAACACAAGAAAGCUAAUCCCAAUUCUAGUACACCCAAGAGCUCUUCCAAGAUGACAGCCAAAAGAUCUACCCCUGCAAAGAAAGGAGUCAAGCUAGCUUCUAUAUUUUUGAAGAAGCCAAAAACUUCCCCAACGACAAAUGAACUUCUCCAAAUAGUUGACCCAGAAGUUGUGAAAGAGCGUCAAGCAUUUCUGUUGAGUGGGGUGCCCGAGGAAAUCAAGAAACAGCAAACAAGCAGUACUGUAAUAUCCACCACAGAGUUCCAGGCUUUUUCGAUGGUUGACCAUAUUCAACAACGUCCCCUAGAAGGAGACUCAUUAUGGGAUCUUUCAAGUCCAAGGCUUAAUCUUAAAGCUGUCGAAGAUACUAAAAUCCAACCUAGUAAGACUCUCACCAAGGGGCAUGUCAGCCUAUCAUGUUGCGAUGAUAAUAGAGAUUGCAGAGUUAACAUUAACUUUUGUGAACACCCGGCUAUAUCAGACAGUACCAGAGAUGUGCUUUUAAGUGAAAUAAAGCGUAGACAACCAGACUUACCUGUUAAACGACUUUACAAACUUUUCACUAGUAGAUACAAGCAGAAUGAGGACUUUGGGAAUUGCAACAACACGGAGGAUGCUUAUGAUGCAAAACCUGGUGAAAAGAGAAAGUUAAAAGAAGACCAGCCAAUCACAAAUAAACGCAAGAAACUUUCCACGUCAAAGAAAAAGUCAGGACAGGGAGAAGAAGCUCUUCCAAGGAGAAGCAGUAGACGCAGUCUCAACAAUAUGGAUUCUGAGGUGGUUCCCACUAAAGAGAAAGAUCCUGAGAAGGCCACACAAGACAAAUAUGCUGUGAGCGAUGCAGAAAAUACAAUAAAAGGUGUAACAAAGGAACCAAGUCCAGAAGAACUGAGUAAGAGGACCAUGCAUUGGACAGAGAAGUAUCAACCCAGUAAGGCAACUGAGAUCAUUGGCCAGCAACACAAUGUAAAGAAACUGAGUCGAUGGCUCCAAGAGUGGAAAGAACGGACUAACAAGGAGGCAAAGAAAUUGAAGAUUCAACUAUUGAAGGAAGCGAAAAAAGCAGGGAAGAACAAGGAACAAAUUAAAGCCGAGGCUGGAGACGCUUGGGACGAUGACUCAGACUUUGACAUAGAUGCCAGCUACAGCGAGGGAAGUGAUGGGGAAGAAGAGGAAGAUGAUGGCCUCUGUAACACUACAGUCAUCUGUGGACCACAUGGCAUUGGAAAGACAUCAGUUGUGUAUGCAUUGGCACAGGAUCUUGGAUACAAGGUGUUUGAAGUGAAUGCAUCAUCAUGUCGUAACGGAAAACGUGUGAUGUCACAACUACAGGAGGCGACACAAUCCCACCAGGUCUCAAAGAAUCAUCUUGAGAAAAGUUUCAGUUUCAACAGUACCAGCGGAAAAUCAAACUCACAAGAUACCUCCACAAAGGCAGCGCCCCCUGCUGCAGGGACACAAUCAGUGGCCAACUUCUUCACCAAGAAAAUACCCAGUAUUAACACUGAAAAAGCACCACCAAAGAAAAGAGGAAGGAAACCCAAAGAAGAGAGCCCAGUGAAACAAAAGAAGGAGAAAUCACAUAAGAAGUCCAGUGUUGGAGGAGGACUGACUAACAAGCAGGGUCCAACAUCUCUAAAAGGCCUUAAUCUGUCAAGUGUUUCUUUGAUUCUCUUUGAGGAGGUUGAUGUAGUGCUGGAGGAAGACAAAGGAUUCCUAGCUGCAGUCCAGCAGUUCAUCGUUGGAACAAAGAGACCAAUCAUCAUGACUACUAGCGACCCCUAUUUUAGCAGCAAGCUCGACAGACGAUUUGAGGAGUUGAAAUUCAGACAGCCUUCUUUUAAUUUAGUCGCCAGUUACUUGCAAACAUUGAGCUUAGCGGAAAAUUUCCUCGUCGAUAAUGAUGCGCUAUGUUCGCUAGUGGAAUUAAACAGAGGUGAUAUCCGGAAAAGUAUACUCGCUACUCAGUUUUGGGCUGAAUCAGGGGGUGCUCUUACAGACAAUACACAGCCAUAUGUACCUUCGGCAGAGACUCAUAAUGCAAAAAUUGUUGUAGAUGAAAACAAGGAGAUUGAAAAGGUGGAUGACCAUUUAGCAAACACUACAGAGGAGAGUGACGAUGAUUUCCAGUUAGCACCAAGGACUAGACGCAAACCUAGAAAUUUGAAAAUAAUGGAUGAAUCCUCUUGUGAUAAUAUCUUAGAUAGUCCAGUGAAAACACCCCAGAGUUCAGAUGCAAAGCCUGCACUUGGAGGUACAAAUGCAGCCUCUAUAAAUGCCAGUAUGAAAACUCUGCCUGGAGAAAUGGAUGCUUUAGGACAUAGUUGUUGUGUGGAGAGUCUACUAGGAAUGACUAGUGUAUAUGCGGGGAAACCUCAGUCUACUUUUAAUGCCAUACAGAAUCCAGACAUGUUUAGCGCAUCAGAGGCUUUGAAUCAGAUGUCAAACGUAAGAGGGAAUUUAAUGUACAAUAAUCUCUACAGUCUUCUACCUCUGCCAACCCAACUGGUGUCUAGAGACAAAUACAGAAUACUAGACCCUUCCCAGGUCCUACAGAGAUCUAGGAUUAGAGAUAAUAGUGAUAUAUUUGAAAGUGAUAGCGAAAAUGAACAAGAGUUUGAUACUUUAAAAAACAAGGGGGUUUGUGAUACAGAAAAAUGCAGUGACGUGAAAGAGGGUAAUAUUGCAGUGAAAAUUGAUAUUAAAUCAACCCCAGGUGACAUACACAAGAAAAGGCUUGUAUCGAACUCAUUAGAUUCAAUAUCUAAAUUAUUGGAUACAUUAUCAUAUAUGGAUAGUUUCACUACGCCACCAGACACAAAUAAAAUACAUGGGAGUAAAUUAUGGAAUUCUGACUCUGUUAUCCUACAAGGGGGACUCUUAGAUGAGCUUCCUGCAAUUGGGCACAGCAAUGAUUUAGCUAGGGAUAUCAAUUCAACAAUAGAGGUGAUGAGUCUAAAGAAAUGCUCAGCCACAAUGAUAGGAGUGUUAAAACAAUGUGAGGGCAAAGAUGAUGUUCUAGAGAGACUAACAUUGCCAGUGGUGACAGAAAACAGAUUGUCAUUUUCUAGUGGUUUAAUCAAAGAUAGUUGGGGAUCUGUCAAUAUGAAGAUGCAUUCCAACAUAACUGAAUGUCUUCCUCUGGGGACUGAUCAUUCUGUGAUCUCCACAGACUACACACCAAUACUGAGGCUUAUUUGCAAGACAGAGCAAUGCAGACAAGCUGCUAAAUGUAAAAGAAGGUUCUUUCACUAUUUAGAGCAGAUCCAAAUAUAUUUGAGACAGUCCACCAUUGACAAUCUCUGUGCUACUUGAUAAAGAAAUUGAAAUAAUGAUUAUUAUACUCACAUCUUGGGAGUAUUUGUGCAAAUUUCAAGUGUAGUUAUAGUACAGUACAUCGAAAUACAUUGCAGUACAGUACAGUACAGUACAGUACAGUACAGUACAGUACAGUACAGUACA
Molecule: unclassified non-coding RNA, 5732 nt
Filed under: Owenia fusiformis
Lineage: Eukaryota; Metazoa; Annelida; Polychaeta; Sabellida; Oweniidae
Description: misc RNA OFUS_LOCUS18499
Source: RNAcentral